This 962-nucleotide ribosomal RNA is filed under the name uncultured bacterium. RNAcentral's name for it is "bacterial SSU rRNA". It matches the Rfam family "Bacterial small subunit ribosomal RNA", at positions 9 to 973 of the family's 1533-position model. The record is from RNAcentral.
GAGUUUGAUCCUGGCUCAGGAUGAACGCUAGCGGCAGGCCUAACACAUGCAAGUCGAGGGGUAGAAGGAGCUUGCUCCUUUGAGACCGGCGCACGGGUGCGUAACGCGUAUGCAAUCUACCUUGUACAGGGGAAUAGCCCAGAGAAAUUUGGAUUAAUGCCCCAUAGUAUAUAACCUUCGCAUGUUGGUUAUGUUAAAGUUCCAACGGUACGAGAUGAGCAUGCGUCCCAUUAGUUAGUUGGUAAGGUAACGGCUUACCAAGACGAUGAUGGGUAGGGGUCCUGAGAGGGAGAUCCCCCACACUGGUACUGAGACACGAACCAGACUCCUACGGGAGGCAGCAGUGAGGAAUAUUGGUCAAUGGACGCAAGUCUGAACCAGCCAUGCCGCGUGCAGGAAGAAUGCCCUAUGGGUUGUAAACUGCUUUUAUUUAGGAAUAAACCUUUCUACGUGUAGAAAGCUGAAGGUACUAAAUGAAUAAGCACCGGCUAACUCCGUGCCAGCAGCCGCGGUAAUACGGAGGGUGCAAGCGUUAUCCGGAAUCAUUGGGUUUAAAGGGUCCGCAGGCGGAUUUAUAAGUCAGUGGUGAAAGCCUACAGCUUAACUGUAGAACUGCCAUUGAUACUGUAAGUCUUGAAUUCGGUCGAAGUGGGCGGAAUGUGUAAUGUAGCGGUGAAAUGCAUAGAUAUUACACAGAACACCGAUAGCGAAGGCAGCUCACUAGGCCUGGAUUGACGCUCAGGGACGAAAGCGUGGGGAUCAAACAGGAUUAGAUACCCUGGUAGUCCACGCUGUAAACGAUGAUUACUCGUUUUCGGCGAUAUACAGUCGGAGACUAAGCGAAAGUGAUAAGUAAUCCACCUGGGGAGUACGAUCGCAAGGUUGAAACUCAAAGGAAUUGACGGGGGCCCGCACAAGCGGUGGAGCAUGUGGUUUAAUUCGAUGAUACGCGAGGAACCUUA